Molecule: unclassified non-coding RNA, 203 nt
Filed under: Hevea brasiliensis (rubber tree)
Lineage: Eukaryota; Viridiplantae; Streptophyta; Magnoliopsida; Malpighiales; Euphorbiaceae
Source: RNAcentral
AAAAAAAAAAAAAAUUAAAGAAAUAAAACUUGAUCCCAGGAAACACAUCAUGGCAGCUAUGAUUCUGAAACUAUGGACAAGAUUGAACUAAAUACUUAUAUCAUUAUCUAGUAAAAAGAAUUAUAUAAUUAUACUUUAUAGACUGCAAUGCCGGGUUGGCAGACUAGGCUAAUUUUCAUAAACCAAACAAGCUCAUUAAACUU